AUGGUUCACAGCAAUUCUUCUUCUCCAAUGAAAACAACGCCGUCUGCCUCAUCUCACCAAACAGGCCGAACUUCAACCCCUGAUUCUUCUCGGGCUCCAUCUGAUGGAAAUCCUCCUGUCCCGACCACAGCAACAGCAUUACAGUCUAAGUCAAGACUAGCGUCUGUCAGGGGGUCUGCACAGACACCGACCCCUGCUCAAGGCCUUGUCAAUGGCCGUACAUCAGGCAGGAAAAGGACUCCUAAGGCCUGUGAUUGCUGUGGCCCCCACAGUGCAGGACACAAUGUCAAAAGCUCAGAUAGAGGGAGGGGGGCGCAGAGAGGAAGGGGAAGGGGGAGAGGGAGAGGAGCUGUCAAGGACCUUGAGGAUACUCCUAAAAGGAAAGUGGAGCAGUUGAAAGUAAUCAAGAACUUCGAUUUAGCCAAGGCGAAGGUAAAGACAACAGAGAAUAAAGAUAACCCACAGGAGGCUCUGCAAACAUCUGUACAAGUGGCUGAUACACAGCCACAAACCCUCCCUCCUAAGCCUGUCUCAGCCACCUCACAAGAUGGACCAAUUACAAACUGUGCUUCUGCAAGUAUGGGGGCUGCACAGGGUGUGUUGAUGACACAGUCAGGGGUUGUUGGUGCGGCAGAGAAAGGAGGUGGUGAGAAAAGGGACGGUGUCACAAAAGUGCCAGUACAGGAUAGAACGAGCUCUUUAGCAGGCAGAGGUCGAGGUAGAGGGCAAGGGAACCUCAUGGCUGCAUCAAAAGUGGAAGUUAACAUUCAAGUAAGAAGCAGGGGAAGAGGUCGUCUCGGUUCAGGAACAGGUGCCUUAGCUCACUCAGCGUUAGUGAUGGAACCAGAGGGAAAACAAGACUCACGGGUGGACCAAAAUGACACCGGCUUAGCUAAAUGUCUGCUUGGAAACGGAGACAUGGUAAGCCUGUCUGACUCGGAUGAAGAAAUGAAAGACGACACCAUAAUUGUGAGUGAACCUGCAGAUGAGCUUCUGUUAAUCUCAAUGCAGUCAACUCCUGCUUCAAGAUUAGAAUCGUCCCAAAGCCUUGAUUCUGAGAUGCAGGUGGACCACAUCUCUGACCAAAACCAAAUUUCUGCAUCUCCAACGCUGCCCAACGGGAACACAACCACACCAACAGACCGAGAACACACAUCCUCACCUGCGAACAUGAAAACCUCUAGCUCAGCUUUGGUUCCCCCUCCAGACCCCAUAACAAUGAGCAGCACAGAGUGCCUCGGGGCAUUAAGAGACCACAGACUGUACUGUCACCCUGGAACGUGGGCAAAAGACGAGACGAAAGAAGUGGCGGUCACAAAUCCAGCUGAAGAAAACGCGAUUAGUGCAGAUACUCAGAGUAAGAAAGGCCUGGAGCAGCUCACCGACAUGGUUCAUGAGUUUUUGGAGAGCUUCUAUAUAAAAUAUGGCAGCUUCAUUCCUCUUAGUGAAUCUGAUGUCCUGGAGCAUCUGAAAAAGAAAGGCAUCUCUGACUUCAAAAACAGGUUCACACACGCAUGCGUGCGCGCACACACACACUCACACACACUCAGGCAGGAAAAGGCAUCAUAA
Nothobranchius furzeri (turquoise killifish) is the source of this 1569-nucleotide long non-coding RNA. The record is from Ensembl. NCBI's taxonomy places the organism in Eukaryota, Metazoa, Chordata, Actinopteri, Cyprinodontiformes, Nothobranchiidae.